RNAcentral lists this unclassified non-coding RNA (199 nucleotides) under rhizosphere metagenome. RNAcentral's name for it is "partial ribosomal RNA internal transcribed spacer region". The record is from RNAcentral.
GAGUGAGGGCCCUCUGGGUCCAACCUCCCACCCGUGUUUAUUUACCUUGUUGCUUCGGCGAGCCUGCCUUUUGGCUGCCGGGGGACGUCAGUCCCCGGGUCCGUGCUCGCCGGAGACACCUUAGAACUCUGUCUGAAGAUUGUAGUCUGAGAUUAAAUAUAAAUUAUUUAAAACUUUCAACAACGGAUCUCUUGGUUCC